UGGUCAAGUGAUAGCAGCUCAGGUGUGUUGCUGUGUGUACACGUGUGUGCUUGGACUAUAAUUCGUGCUCUUGAUUAAACAAAAAUUAUACAUGAGCUUAUAAGCCUUACAGAAACCAAGUCUCUUUAAGGCCUCAGAAUUGCUUUGUGACAUACAAUUUUUCUUUUUCCUUACAAAACAUUUCAUAAAUGUUAGCAUCUUGCGUGCACUCUUAAAAUUCUCAGAUAGAAUAGCAUAUGCAACAGGCUUCCAAAUUGAUAAUUAUUGUAAUUGUAGUAUAAAUAUAAACAUCAUUCAAAUUAAGUAAGCUCCCGUGGCUGGUGAUAUAAAAGAACUUCCAGUUACACCUUAGAAAAUCUUUACCUGCUUGGAAUUUUGGUAAUGGCUGCCUGACCUUUUUUGUGAACAAACUGUGUGCUCAUUGAGAUCUUUUUCCAAACUCUUAUUUCGUGGAUAAUUUUUGGCUUCACAGCCUAAUGUUGGGCUGUUCACGACUUGAAUCAAUGCAACUGACCCUUCUGGCCUGAAAGUGAGCCAACCUGAUAUUUCAGUUUGAAUCACAAGAUUGGGUCGAGACAGUUGAUCUACUUUUAAAAACGCUUUUUGUUGUUCAGUUAUUAAAAUUAUCAGUGAAUACCCAAGAAACCAUCAUUUUUUCAGUUGUCUGGCUGCGUGUCUCUACGAUCUGAUACCCUCGAGCUUGCUAUGGCUAACGUCCAAAGAAUUCUAGCCUUGCCAUCGAUGUCCCAGAUAUCAUUGAAUCGCACUAAGCCAUUCUAAGAAUUCCUUGUUUCUCUCCUUCUCUCCAAAAGCCACCAGAUCUUUAACUCUCUCUCCUCUUUUUAGCUAUGAAUUCUUGCCCACCUUGUAUUUUCUGCUUGCCAAGCUCAAAAGCCUACGUGCUCAGAUCCUCUCCUGCUCAGUAUGUGCUUUCCUCCCUCUCUUCUUUUUAUCUCUGUUUGUGUGUAUUCA
This 972-nucleotide unclassified non-coding RNA is filed under the name Hevea brasiliensis (rubber tree). Lineage: Eukaryota; Viridiplantae; Streptophyta; Magnoliopsida; Malpighiales; Euphorbiaceae. The record is from RNAcentral.